RNAcentral lists this ribosomal RNA (492 nucleotides) under uncultured bacterium. RNAcentral's name for it is "partial 16S ribosomal RNA". It matches the Rfam family "Bacterial small subunit ribosomal RNA", at positions 29 to 507 of the family's 1533-position model. The record is from RNAcentral.
AGUGAACGCUGGCGGUAGGCCUAACACAUGCAAGUCGAACGGCAGCACAGUAAGGGCUUGCUCUUACGGGUGGCGAGUGGCGGACGGGUGAGGAAUACAUCGGAAUCUACUUUUUCGUGGGGGAUAACGUAGGGAAACUUACGCUAAUACCUCAUACGACCUACGGCUGAAAGCAGGAGAUAUUCGCACCUUGCGCGAUUGAAUGAGCCGAUGUCGUAUUAGCUAGUUGGCGGGGUAAAGGCCCACCAAGGCAACGAUCCGUAGCUGGUCUGAGAGGAUGAUCAGCCACACUGGAACUGAGACACGGUCCAGACUCCUACGGGAGGCAGCAGUGGGGAAUAUUGGACAAUGGGCGCAAGCCUGAUCCAGCCAUACCGCGUGGGUGAAGAAGGCCUUCGGGUUGUAAAGCCCUUUUGUUGGGAAAGAAAAGCAGCAGGUUAAUACCCCGCUGUUCUGACGGUACCCAAAGAAUAAGCACCGGCUAACUUCGUG